CUCCAUUCUUGUGCAAAAUUCAAAUAAUUCCCCCCCCCCCUUCAGAGCAGCUGUGCAUGGUUUUUUAAGUCGGUCUUUAACGUUGCGAAAGGAACAAUAAAAUGAAAGGCAAAACCGGCAUCUUAAAACUUGGCAAGCAGCUUGGACUGGCAGCCAAGAAUCCUGCUGUGGUGCAAAAAGAAUAGCAUCCACGAAGGCACCGCAAUCCGGGGUUUCUCCUCUCUUAACAAUCGCAUCGGCAGAGAGAAAUAAUUAUUCCUUGUAUCAGUGUUAAAAGAGUCAAAAAGCUUAAAAUGCUUGCUUGGUGAACCUUCUCAGAAGCAGGUUACGUUUCUUGAAGAGUUGGGCCUAGCAAUAUGGCAGCGCACGUUCGAUAAGAAACCCCGUAAAGCGCUGCCCCUGAGGGCAUCAGAGGAGGAUAUUGAGAGUAAUCUGGACAUAGCAGCUUUCUUCCAAGGAUCUCAAAACACUCUAAGGACAUGCUUUUCUCUGCAACCUUCCUCUCACUCCAUUUCUAUGAGAACUCUUCCUGCAAAUUGGGUCCCUAAGAGGAUUAGUGAAGGGGAUACCAAUUUAUUUAUACCCACCUCAGCGUGGCAGCAGACAGACAUUGUAAGUUGCUGGAUUAUUAAAUGGUUUGUAACAUGUGAAAGAAGCUUCCUUCUUCUAGUGCAGUUCAGAGUGGACAGGUGUCUACAUCACAGCCACUCUGAACUGACCCCCAGCUCCUGCAUUUUUUUCUCUUCUUAACCUGUUCACGCUGGCAAUACAAAUGGACAUGCUGAGGAGACUAAGUGGACUACAGAGAUUCAGUCCCUUCAAGUGUGAGAUAGACUGCUGUAGGGAUACAUUAUUGCUAUGUUGUAGAUGCACAUUAUUGCUGUUCUCAGGGCAAAGAUGCCUUUGGUCACCACGGAAAAGUUUUCAGGCAUCUUUCCGUUGCACUUAGUACACUGGAAAAAAAAAAAAAUACAGAAUGAGGGAGAGAGAUAAGAAGCCAGGAGAAAACCCUCAAGCUUUCUCUGCUUACACUUCCGAUUCUGGAUAGCUACAGUGCCAAGCGAUAUUGCCAUUUCAGUCGUCUUCUACUGUGCCUGGCUUGAAUGAUCCCAAAGGAGCAAGCGGAGGUAAAUAUACGGCUAUGAUCAAAAGAGAGUAAAGCCUCUAUUAUUUGUGCCAGCCUACAGGCGCUUAGGUUUUGGAAUCUGAGUCUUUGAAAAACAAGGUUACUUGGAGCUCUAGUAAAUAAAGUGUCUGGAUGUUAGUGGUGAUUCA
RNAcentral lists this long non-coding RNA (1275 nucleotides) under Struthio camelus australis. RNAcentral describes it as "lncRNA (ENSSCUG00000011470.1)". The record is from RNAcentral. Lineage: Eukaryota; Metazoa; Chordata; Aves; Struthioniformes; Struthionidae.